Cynara cardunculus var. scolymus (artichoke) is the source of this 154-nucleotide small nucleolar RNA. RefSeq annotates it as small nucleolar RNA snoR2/U65. The record is from RefSeq and is a predicted model, not a curated record. Lineage: Eukaryota; Viridiplantae; Streptophyta; Magnoliopsida; Asterales; Asteraceae. The transcript has a single exon.
GGUUCGAUGCCACGUCGACGGUAGCCAAAAGUGCAUUGACCGACGAUGCUAUGAUUGAACCGAUAACAAGGCUUUGUGUCUUUCGCAUUUUAUAGGAACCUGUGAACUGAUUGAUUUCCGUUCAUUCACAGAGCCGUUUUUUGCGAUUACAUUC